Molecule: ribosomal RNA, 472 nt
Filed under: uncultured bacterium
Lineage: Bacteria
Description: partial 16S ribosomal RNA
Rfam family: Bacterial small subunit ribosomal RNA
Source: RNAcentral
AGUGAACGCUGGCGGUAGGCCUAACACAUGCAAGUCGAACGGCAGCACAGUAAGAGCUUGCUCUUACGGGUGGCGAGUGGCGGACGGGAGAGGAAUACAUCGGAAUCUACUUUUUCGUGGGGGUUAACGUAGGGAAACUUACGCUAAUACCGCAUACGACCUACGGGUGAAAGCAGGGGAACUUCGGACCUGGCGGGAGGGAAUGGGCCGGUGGCGGAUUAGCUAGUUGGCGGGGUAGUGGCCCACCAAGGCUUUGAUGGGUAGCCGGCCUGAGAGGGUGACCGGCCACAUUGGGACUGAGAUACGGGCCAGACUGCUACGGGAGGCAGCAGUGGGGAAUAUUGCACAAUGGGCGGAAGCCUGAUGCAGCAACGCCGCGUGCGGGAUGACGGCCUUCGGGUUGUAAACCGCUUUCGCCUGUGACGAAGCGUGAGUGACGGUAAUGGGUAAAGAAGCACCGGCUAACUACGUG